CCGUACACUUGCAACAUGGUGAGUAAGAGCAGAGUGGUAAAGUCGUGCUUCCAGUUUUGUAAUUGUAUUUUAAUUUUUACAACUCGGUACAUUGUAAUGUUAGGCGGAUUACCUUCCAGUGUAUUUAGCUAGCUAGGGAUGAGCAGGUUUUUCUGGGAAUUUAGGAAUUAGGCAGACGCCAGCAGAAUUGUAUUAUGACAGGCUGUGAAAAUAAUACUAAUGUAAACUAAGCCUGUGCUUUUGUGGCUCACAGACAGACAGCGAGCAUAAAAUUUUAAGAAUAACAAGUAUUAGCUAAAAAGGUAAAACUUUUGUAGCUGGGGUAGCCCUGAAAAUACUAGAAACCUGGCUAGUCCUAUCCUUAUUACGUGAUAAACAAACAGUUUUGAUGCUGAUAUACAAACUUUCCCACUCCUCCUCCUCCUCAUCAUCAUUCUCCAGCUUAACGUCUGUUUUCCAUGCUAGCAUGGGUUGGACAGGGUAUAUUAAUGACCCUCUUCCAAUCUGAUCUAGACUGUGUUAGAUCUAAACUCAACUUCCUCUGUAUCAAGUCUGUCCUUAUCACCUCCUGGCAAGUCUUUCUCCGUCUGCCUCUGGGAUUUGCCCCAGCAACUAUCAAGUCUCUACACUUUCUUACCCAAUUAUCCUCCUAUCACUACAUAAUCUUAUGGUUUUGACUCUACAGCAUGCAGGGGUGAACAGGGCAACAGAGAAUCCAACUUUUAAAACACUAAUGAUUUGCCUUUAACACAAGUUGUGGCAUGACAUAAUGUUGUAACUUUGCAAUCUAGAACAAUGGACAUGGCCACACGCACAUACAGGCAAAGUAUAUAAACAACAGACCACAACAAUUGAACAAAAGUCAAAACUCAUCUAUAUAUUAAUACGGAAGUUGUGUUUGUCUGUGACCACAAAAGUGGAUAUCUUUAUUUUCUUUUGAUGUCACCGAAAAAGUUAUGUCUAAUUUGUUAUUCUUUUUGACGUUAUGACGAGACUUCAAUGCAUUUAGACUGAUGUCAUUGCGUUUAAUAAGAUUGGUAAAGCCAUUGCAUAGCUUGAACUUGAAAAUGAUGUGGUGACGUCACCUGGGACCAAUUUGGAUAAGUUCCCUGAACCUAGGUACCCGUAUCCGUUUCAGAAUGGCUGGGUUGAUGACAUCAUCAAAAAACCUUUAAACCACCCCAAUAUCUCUAAAUUUUCAAAAACAUUUUUUCAUAUAUUUGUUUGACUUUGCCGACGUCAGCAAAAUUUUUAACAUUUACAUUUUCUUAGGCAUUCAUCCAAACUCUGCGGUUGUAUACAUUAAUUCAAUCAAAUAUUAAAUCUCUACACAAUAAAGGCAACAAAUUUCUAAAAAAAUAUCUUGUCUCAGCUCUUUCCUGACGUUAUUAAAGUUUAAGUUAUGGUUCUCUUUUCCAUUGUACUUCUACCUAAGUUGAUUUUUCCACAGGCCUUGACUAGUCGGAAUUAUUUCUAAAGUUUAUUACUAAAGUUUAUUUUUAUAAAAAACAAAUUUCUUAACUUGAUUAAAUUGAUAUUGUGUCAGUGAUUUUGCUAAAAGUCUGACUUUUUUUAUUUAAUUAAGGUGGAACUCAAAAAGUAUGUUUCUUAAAAAGAAGACGUAGUAUUUAUUGAUUAAAAUAGUUACAGUACUUGGACCCACAUCAUCCUCCAUCUGAUAAGACAAAAAAAAGUAUAUAUAUAAUCUAAUCUGCAAGUAUCAUCGCAGCUCUGAACGCAUUGAUUGCUACUUUUUGUACAUCAUUUUUUAAUAGCAAAAAAAAAUUUUCCUUUAGGUGCUUACCUACCUGUGGUAUGUUAAAACAAUAACUGAAGCAGUGUUAGGUUUUUUUUAGUCCUAAAAACACAGUAGCUUUUGUCAAUUGGAAAAUCCAUGGAUAAAAUCCUAUUGAUCAUCCAACCAACUCAUUUUUUCAUAGACUUAAGGAUGAUGCGAACAUAACAUAUCACUGACUUUGACAAUCUCAUAUAUAUAUGUAUAAGCCAAAAUUUUAAAAAUCACAACUGCAUGCAAUUAAGAAUGCUGUUGUUUAUCCCUGUUAUUUGUGCUGUUAUUUAUGCCUUUGUUUAUCCCUUCUUAUUUUGUUUUUUCCCUUACCCUGUUGUUUUACCCCUUACCCUAUUUUUUAUAUAAUUUUAUACAAUUUAUUCAUAAUUUUAUUGCACACAUGUUAAUAGCAGCUUUUAUUAGUCUAUAUAUUGGCAAAUAGAAAAAGAAAACAAGGUUUUUAUCUAAGUAACUUGCACUUAAUACUUUUCAUUGUUCACAGUGUACUUAGGAUUUAAGAUCUUAUGUGUUAUUUGUGUCGCUGUGCAUUUAAGAGGUGCAUAACACCAUCAAAACAUUUGGUUGUUUCACUCAGAUAUCUGCCGAUUUGAGCAUGUCGGAAGAAGCAUAGUGGGAGGAGGGUUUCCCAGGAGGUAAAUAAUGAGACACUGCAAUGAAAAUAACUUAUGGAACAAAUUAAAUUCGCAUCAUAAAAUUGUUUGUUAUUUGAACAAUUAUUUGCCAAUUUUUUGUUUAAUUUUCGAUUAUUUAUUUGUUCCUUGUAAAUUGUUUAAGGGCUAAUUUCACGCCACAUUCUUUUGAAAAAAUUUUGAGUAGAAACAUUGCACAUUGGUCAUUUCUAAUUUUCUCCUUGAAUUAUUUUCUCUUUCAUCUUGUUCAAGAGUAAGUAAAAAUAUUUUAACUCGUAUUCGAAUCUAGAGCAUAAUGUAAAAACAAAUUAUUGUUAAAGAUGGUGUCUGCUCUGCAUAUAUUGCAAAAUGUCUAAUGCAGAAAAUCCAAUAACGUGAAUAAAACUGUUAAAGAGAUUGAAAAAUGAAACUAAAAUAAACAAAAUGUCUUAAAUGAAUUGUAUGGAUGUUUAAAUCAGAUAAAACAAGAAAUUUUUAAUUUCAUAAUGUGGUUGCUAAGAUGCUAUUUUUAAUUAAAUAGAAUAAAUAGAUUUUAAAAACAUUAAAAGCUCAGAAAUUAUGUAAACAAAUGUACAUUUUUGGUAUUUUAUGCAAUUAUAUAAAGUCAAAGCAAACAAUGAUUCACCUUUUUUUCUGGGGAAUGUUCACAACUUUUCUUAACUAAACAAUAUGCGUUACACACAACUCUCAAGGAAAAGCAAAACGGCAGACACAGGCGGGGAGACCACAAGGCAAACUAGCUCUAUUUAUAAGUCAUUACAACCUUUUAUUUACUCAUUAAAUUCAGCAUAUCCUUCUGUAUCAACAGGUAACUUUCUGGCGUAACUUAAAAGACACUAAACAUUAUGUAACUAACUGUUUAGCUACUUCAACAAAAUAAUUUCCUAGCUUCGAGCUUGAAAUUUAUUUUUCAAUCUUUGUUUACCAAAAAAUAUAUUUCACUUGCGAAGUUUUACUACGUUGAUAAUGUGAUGCAUCCUUGUUUUAAGUAUGAUUGCUAAUUAAAGUUCUGUAGUUGUUUUCAUCCUCUCUUCGCCUCAUUAUUUGUUUACAAUUGUUAUUUAAACUUUCUAACGCUCACCUCAUCAAGUGACUAUGUCUAUUGUUUUUUCGAUAGAUCCCACUCACUGACAUCAACAUGCUGAGACCUUUAUCACUAUAUAUCAUCAUAUAUUACCUUUAAAAACUUUAAAAAAGUGGCAAAGAAUGCUUAUUAAAGAAUAAGUUUGAGUUAUUGCUGUUAACAUGUAUUUAUUGUCAUAUAGAACAAAGAGUAAGACAAUAUCACUGACCCUGUAAAUAUAGCUAAGAAAGUGUUGGGUUAUACAAAAAAGAUUGCAUAUGAGUAUUGGAUGAAAGUAUUUUUGAGCAAGGAAGAAUAUUAGAAAGCAAGAGAAGCUGUUGGAUUCCAUCAAAAAGAUUAUAGACUAUCAGAACAAAAGAUUACUGAGGAAGAAGAAUGUUAGAAAGUCUUAUAGAAUACAAAAAGGUUAGUGGUUUUAUUAAUUGCCAAUUACAAUUGACAAAACCUAAUUCACACAGUUUUAAAGAUCAAUGUGUAUUUCACACUUUUACAGUCUGAUUCAGAUCAGUGGAAACCAGCCUUCACAGUUUCUGCCAUAAAGUUAGAAUAACUAUAAAGAAAAUUAUACUUGUGUGGUGCAAAAUUAAAGGUUAAAUUAUGAUAAUUACGACAGUUCAUAGUUCUUGUAGAACUGGUACGCUCAUGUGCUGAUUGAAAGUUCCAUUAAUAUGAUUUUUACCCAGUUAAAUUUUUUUACACGUACCCGGUGUAUUAACAGAUUUUGUUGUAAAAUCAAUUUCAUGGUGUGUAGAUAAAAUUAACCAUGCUUAGAAUGUUGCGUUAAAAAUAUAAUGUACACUUUGAUCACAUGUUUCUGUGUGUCUGCAUUUAAUUAUCAAAGGUGCACAAGCUAUUUCUCAAUAUUUGACUUGGUUGUUGUAUUUUCAGUAUUAUAAAGUACAAUAUAUUUUAUCACAUUAGUGUUUGCAUUGUAGCAAAUUUUUUGUAGCCACAUCCCUAACUUUUAUAUAAUGUGUUAUUAUGUUUGCUUUUUCAAAUUUCAAUUUAGAGUGGUAGAUUUUAAUAAAGGACCAAAUAGUAUAUCCUUUUUGUAAUUAAGACUAUUUUUUUUAUUGAGAGACGUUUUUAUUUUUAGUUUCAUCUGGUUAGUAGGAUUUAUCUAGACACGUAAACUUCUACGGAUGCACAUUUUUGCAUCAUUUCUGUCCAAUUCUUAUUUGUUAUUUUCCUAAUUUGUUUUAAAUCUCAGAUUAUAAAUAUUUCAUCCAAAGAAUCUAAUGAUGUUAAUAAUUUGUCUCCAUGAAUUUUAAGUGCUGGAUUAUAAGCCCAUUUUAAAAAGUUUGACCUUUUUAUUAAGUUACAGACAUGUGUAGAAUGUUAUAAAAAUGUUUUUUGCAAAGCACUGCUACUGCACUCCUAACUAAUAAAUUUUAACAAAAAUCUUACUCAAAUGUCAAGUAGAUGUCAAAUCAUAAUCUUGUUAGAUGUUAUUUCUUUUUAUAAAAGUACUUUCGCAAGGCUUUUGUUUCAAACAUUUUUAAGCCUUGGGUUUUUGUGCUAAUACAGAUAAUUGUUUUGUAUUAUAUAAAUUUAGUGUUUCUAGGCAACUUUUUUGGUGACGUUAUGUUUUUCAUCUAAAUCACAUUUUUUAUUUUCGUAUUUAAUGCCUUGUUUAAUCAGUGUAGCUGCGGUACGACUUAUUUUACCAUUUUUGGGAUAUAUAUCGGUAUUUAUAUCAACUUUAAAACCUGACACACACAUACACAUUUUUAAUGUACGCUUGCCGUAAUUUAUGUGAUGUAUUAGUUGUUUGUUAUGACAACAACACAGAGUCGUGGUAACAGUAACAUCAAAAUUCUAAAUCCUAAUAUAUCACAGCUGUGGCAUGGAAAAUGAUACUGCUUCUGUUAAUUUUUUCUUUAAGAAGGUCAGAUUUGGAUAUUUUCACAAUAAACUUUUAUUUGCAGGUGGCUUUCAAGGCUGUUGUUUUUCAUAAGUUCAUUCAAUUUAUUCCAAUGCUAGAUAACCAAGUCAUCAUUUUUUAGGUAUUGUAUCUGGUUUCUACUUUCAUGAAAAUAUACCGUCCCAUGGUAAAUAUAUCACUUUUAUAUUCGGAUGCAUUAAACAACAUUAGCCAUGUUGAAGAGUUAUGGUUUUAACAGAAAGAAAAGUUUGCAGGUAUUUUGACAAAAGUUGACACAAAACUUAAAUAUUUAAGUUUAAUUUAGUUUUGUGUUGAAACAAGAAAUUCACAUUCACUUAUAAAAUAUUGUUUUAUUGCUUACAAAAAUAUACAACUAAAUGUUUCCACAGGCAUCUUGUGACAUGUUUCUUAAUGUUUUUUUGCAUAUCUUUAAGCUUCAAUCAAUCUUGAUCACAUUUUUCAGACAAUAGCAGUAUUUCAAAUAGUUAAAAGGUCUGCUUGUUUUAAAAAACCUCUUAUGCUUAUGCAGUCAUGAAAAAUAAAAUUUGAAAACAUCUAAAUUUUUAAAAACAUCUGAAAAUUGCAUUGACUUCUUUGGGCUACAAAAUCACUACUUUAGCAAAUGCUUAGGUGCGGUGGAAAGCUCUAACAUUUUCAAUCUUAAAUUACGAAAUAAUUCUCAUGAGGGCCCAGAAAAACCUAAAUAUUUAAAAAAGAAACAUGCUGACGUCAGCAAAAAUCAACUUCUUUUGGGGUUUUGUGUCUAUCCAAAUCCACUGUGAUCAAUGACAAGUGAACAUUCACAAGUUCGAAACACUUCAAUCUUAUAAAGAGAAAGUUAAAAUUUGCAGUCUACAAUCCUGGUCUCAACAAAUUUUAACCAGGAUUGUAGAUUUCAGAUUUGUUAGGAAUUUUUUUGGUUUUUACUACAUGCAAAUUCCUUUAUUCAUAAAAUUCAUUAUUAAUAAUCUAUUUUUUUCUUUAUUUUAAUUUCAAAAAGUUACACUCCCCAUGUAGCCAAUCUCACAAGAAGCAUAAAUGUUCUCUUUUAAUUGUUUUAAGCCGCAUUUUUUUAAUUUUUUGCAUUUUAAAAGAUUGAUAUUCAUGCUUCGUUUUCUCUUUUAGAAAACUUGAUAAGUCAGAUUUUUGCUAAAACUUUCAACAUCCUAUUUGUGGUGGUCAGUGUGUUAAAUGGUGUAUGCAAUACUGUGAGAAUGCUGCUUCCCCCCCCCCCCCCCCCCAAAAAAAAAAGAAAAAAAAU
Molecule: long non-coding RNA, 6669 nt
Organism: Hydractinia symbiolongicarpus
Lineage: Eukaryota; Metazoa; Cnidaria; Hydrozoa; Anthoathecata; Hydractiniidae
Exons: 3
Source: RefSeq, a predicted model, not a curated record